CACGUAGGGUGCGAGCGUUGUCCGGAAUUAUUGGGCGUAAAGAGCUCGUAGGCGGUGUGUCGCGUCGGCCGUGAAAACCUGCAGCUUAACUGUGGGCUUGCGGUCGAUACGGGCAUCACUGGAGUUCGGCAGGGGGAGACUGGAAUUCCUGGUGUAGCGGUGAAAUGCGCAGAUAUCAGGAGGAACACCGGUGGCGAAGGCGGGUCUCUGGGCCGAUACUGACGCUGAGGAGCGAAAGCGUGGGGGAGCGAACAGGA
Molecule: ribosomal RNA, 257 nt
Filed under: uncultured bacterium
Lineage: Bacteria
Description: partial 16S ribosomal RNA
Rfam family: Bacterial small subunit ribosomal RNA
Source: RNAcentral